AUUCUUGGUUAUUCUAUUAUUAAAAAUGUGACAUUCUGGUGUUAAGCUCCCACGACCAUAUUAUUUAAUUGUAUUAUUUAAAAUUACAAAAAAUAUAUAAGUAAUAUAUUUAUUUUAUUAAUUAAUUUUAAAUAAUGCUAUAAAAAAUUUUAACAUAUUUUUAGAAAAAAAAAGAGAGAGAAUAUAGGUUAGAGAGAGAGCAUAACUAAAGAAAUAGGGCGAGAGAUGGAGACAAGAUUAGAGAGAGGAAGAGAGUUGAGAUUUUAGAAAAAUAGGGGGAGAGAGAGCUAAUUAGUUUAGAGAAAAAAAAGAGUUAAACUUUAGAGAGAGGAAGAUAAGUUUAGAGAGAGGUAUGAGGUAAGAAUACUAAAGGAAAAUAAUAUCAAUUAGCUGACGAGUGGAGAGAGAGAAAAAGAUCAUAUUCUGAUUAUCUGAAUCUAUUAUUACGAGGAUAUCCAUCCUCCCUCAAAGAUAAGUUUAAAGAGAGGUAUGAGAUAAGAGUACUAAAGAAAAACAGUACCAACUAGUCGGUGGGUGGGGAGAAAGAAACAAUUAGACAUAUUAUGAUUAUCCGAAUCUAUUAAUAUGAGGAUAUCAGUUCUCCCUCAACGAAAUAAGAUUAGUAUUUUGGAAUGAAUCUCAUUCCCAAAUAACUCUAAUAUUAUCAACCAGAUUAUUUAAUGCGUUUAGCGAAAUACCGUCAUAUUUUUCAAUUUUUAUUGAAUUUUUUUUUAAGAACAAAAAUAAUUAUUAGGAAUUUUAAAGAGAUACUACAGACCAAACGCAUCCUUACUGCCACGAGCUACAAAUAUAU
This 814-nucleotide long non-coding RNA is filed under the name Ananas comosus (pineapple). Its description in RNAcentral is "long non-coding RNA (ACOM_LNC004266)". The record is from RNAcentral. Lineage: Eukaryota; Viridiplantae; Streptophyta; Magnoliopsida; Poales; Bromeliaceae.